This 465-nucleotide ribosomal RNA is filed under the name Vreelandella stevensii. RNAcentral's name for it is "partial 16S ribosomal RNA". It matches the Rfam family "Bacterial small subunit ribosomal RNA", at positions 338 to 795 of the family's 1533-position model. Lineage: Bacteria; Pseudomonadati; Pseudomonadota; Gammaproteobacteria; Oceanospirillales; Halomonadaceae. The record is from RNAcentral.
CCUACGGGAGGCUGCAGUGGGGAAUAUUGGACAAUGGGGGCAACCCUGAUCCAGCCAUGCCGCGUGUGUGAAGAAGGCCCUCGGGUUGUAAAUCACUUUCAGUGAGGAAGAACGCCUGGUGGUUAAUACCCAUCAGGAAAGACAUCACUCACAGAAGAAGCACCGGCUAACUCCGUGCCAGCAGCCGCGGUAAUACGGAGGGUGCGAGCGUUAAUCGGAAUUACUGGGCGUAAAGCGCGCGUAGGUGGCUUGAUAAGCCGGUUGUGAAAGCCCCGGGCUCAACCUGGGAACGGCAUCCGGAACUGUCAAGCUAGAGUGCAGGAGAGGAAGGUAGAAUUCCCGGUGUAGCGGUGAAAUGCGUAGAGAUCGGGAGGAAUACCAGUGGCGAAGGCGGCCUUCUGGACUGACACUGACACUGAGGUGCGAAAGCGUGGGUAGCAAACAGGAUUAGAUACCCCAGUAGUC